RNAcentral lists this ribosomal RNA (493 nucleotides) under uncultured bacterium. Its description in RNAcentral is "bacterial SSU rRNA". It matches the Rfam family "Bacterial small subunit ribosomal RNA", at positions 903 to 1397 of the family's 1533-position model. The record is from RNAcentral.
AAAUGAAUUGACGGGGGCCCGCACAAGCGGCGGAGCAUGCGGAUUAAUUCGAUGCAACGCGAAGAACCUUACCAAGGCUUGACAUACACCAGACGCGCUCAGAGAUGGGUGUUCCGUAAGGUUGGUGUACAGGUGGUGCAUGGUUGUCGUCAGCUCGUGUCGUGAGAUGUUGGGUUAAGUCCCGCAACGAGCGCAACCCUUAUCUUAUGUUGCCAGCACGUGAUGGUGGGGACUCAUGGGAGACUGCCGGGGUCAACUCGGAGGAAGGUGGGGAUGACGUCAAAUCAUCAUGCCCCUUAUGUCUUGGGCUUCACGCAUGCUACAAUGGCCGGUACAAACCGUUGCGAUACUGUGAGGUGGAGCGAAUCGGAAAAAGCCGGUCUCAGUUCGGAUUGGGGUCUGCAACUCGACCCCAUGAAGUCGGAGUCGCUAGUAAUCGCAGAUCAGCAACGCUGCGGUGAAUACGUUCCCGGGCCUUGUACACACCGCCCGU